AUUGAACGCUGGCGGCAGGCCUAACACAUGCAAGUCGAACGGUAACAGGAAGCAGCUUGCUGCUUUGCUGACGAGUGGCGGACGGGUGAGUAAUGUCUGGGAAACUGCCUGAUGGAGGGGGAUAACUACUGGAAACGGUAGCUAAUACCGCAUAAUGUCGCAAGACCAAAGAGGGGGACCUUCGGGCCCCUUGCCAUCGGAUGUGCCCAGAUGGGAUUAGCUAGUAGGUGGGGUAAAGGCUCACCUAGGCGACGAUCCCUAGCUGGUCUGAGAGGAUGACCGGCCACACUGGAGCUGAGACACGGUCCAGACUCCUACGGGAGGCAGCAGUGGGGAAUAUUGCACAAUGGGCGCAAGCCUGAUGCAGCGAUGCCGCGUGUAUGAAGAAGGCCUUCGGGUUGUAAAGUACUUUCAGCGGGGAGGAAGGGAGUAAAGUUAAUACCUUUGCUCAUUGACGUUACCCGCAGAAGAAGCACCGGCUAACUCCGUG
Molecule: ribosomal RNA, 490 nt
Filed under: uncultured bacterium
Lineage: Bacteria
Description: partial 16S ribosomal RNA
Rfam family: Bacterial small subunit ribosomal RNA
Source: RNAcentral